GAUGAACGCUGGCGGCGUGCCUAAUACAUGCAAGUCGAGCGAACAGACGAGGAGCUUGCUCCUUCGACGUUAGCGGCGGACGUGUGAGUAACACGUAGGUAACCUACCUAUAAGACUGGGAUAACUUCGGGAAACCGGCGCUAAUCCCGGAUAAUAUUUCGCUCCGCAUGGUUCGAUAGUGAAAGAUGGCUUUGCUAUCACUUAUAGAUGGACCUGCGCCGUAUUAGCUAGUUGGUAAGGUAACGGCUUACCAAGGCAACGAUACGUAGCCGACCUGAGAGGGGGAUAGGCAACACUGGAACUGAGAGACGGUCCAGAGUCCUACGGGAGGCAGCAGUAGGGAAUCUUCCGCAAUGGGCGAAAGCCUGACGGAGCAACGCCGCGUGAGUGAUGAAGGUCUUCGGAUCGUAAAACUCUGUUAUUAGGGAAGAACAAACGUGUAAGUAACUGUGCACGUAGUGACGGUACCUAAUCAGAAAGCCACGGCUAACUACGUG
This 497-nucleotide ribosomal RNA is filed under the name uncultured bacterium. Its description in RNAcentral is "partial 16S ribosomal RNA". It matches the Rfam family "Bacterial small subunit ribosomal RNA", at positions 28 to 507 of the family's 1533-position model. The record is from RNAcentral.